Molecule: long non-coding RNA, 1394 nt
Filed under: Mus musculus (house mouse)
Lineage: Eukaryota; Metazoa; Chordata; Mammalia; Rodentia; Muridae
Description: long non-coding RNA chr1:127242090-127243484
Source: RNAcentral
GGUAGAGCUGGGGAUAGCUCAGCAGCAGAGCAUGUGAAUAGCAUGCACAGAGAGAGCUUGGGUUCAAUCCUUGACAGUGGCAGGCAGAGUAAUAAUCUUAGGCUUGGAGAGAUGGCUCAGCCGUUAAGAGUGCUUCCUGCAUGUCCAGAGGAUCCAAGCUUGGUGAGGCUGACUUUCCUUUUACAGAUGAAGUUAUAGUGAAAUGCCACACAUAGCCACACAGUGACAUUAUCACCCGUCUGUAUCAUACAUCCUGUAUCGUCCCACAAGAUAAUAUCGUCUACUGAUGUCAUAGCAGUCUCUGAUCAUGGUGGGAGAAAGUGGCCAGAAAGUGGCUCAUUUCUCCAAACAUGCUGCUUUGGUGAGUGACUUAGGUCUGCACAGCAGCUGAGUGGUGGGGUUAAAAUUUCCCCAAAGUCCCACAACCACGAUUUGAGGAGUUGAGAUUUGAACUCUGCUUCCUACCCUGUGGCAUUGCUAAGCAUCAUCGUCCCCUUACGGGGCCCGAUGGUUAUUUCUAAUUGCGAAUUGUGCAGAACCUACAAUCACCUGGGGAAGAGAGCCUCAAUUGUCUUGUCUAGAUCCGGCUGGCUUUUGGGCAUGUCUGGGAGUAUUGUCUUGCUUGCCUGAAUGAAUGUGGGCAGACCCAGCUAGCGCACUGUGUCCGAGCACCAUUUCCUGGUUUAGACCCUGAACUGUGUAAAAGUAUAGAAAGCUAGCUGAGCACUAAGUGCGCAUGCAUUCAUUUCUCGAUUCUCUCUACUGUGGAGGUGACUAAGUCGAUUCAAAGCUCCUGCUAUCAUGCCUUCCCCCCACAGGGAUAGACUGUAACCUGUAGUUGUGACUUAAACUCUUUCUUCCUGGUGGUGUGUUAUUUUAUCACAGUAACAGAAACGAAACUUGAAGAGAGCUUAGUAAUAGGAAGGGUCAGGAGCGCUGAAACCGUUACUGAGUUCCUGCUGGGCAGGAAGCACGUGGUGAGAACAGUUACUACUGGCUUUCCCAACCUCUACACACCCAGGGAUUGGAUGCCAAUAUUACCAAUACUUGGCUGGAGAUUAAACCAAGCUUUGGAAGUGUUAAACAUGGAAAAUGUUCAUUAAAGUUCAUUCAGACAUGUCUGAAUGUCCACUGUCAGAAUAGUAAAUAAAAUCAUAAAAAUGUAGAUUUGGUGGAUUGGCAAAUAUCUCUGGUGAAUUUUGUGUGAGAUGCUGUGUCAGAGUUAAGGAGAAAUAGAUGUCCUCCCUGGUUGCUGAGUCUGCGUAGAGGAGUGUCCACACCAAGUGAGAGAGGUGGAAACAGCACAGAGACAUAGAGUUUGGCAAGGAUGCAGAGUGAGGAGGGUGGGGCCAGGAAGAUAAUGUACAAAUGAUAGGGGGUGUUAUGUUAGAACC